Molecule: long non-coding RNA, 1129 nt
Filed under: Homo sapiens (human)
Lineage: Eukaryota; Metazoa; Chordata; Mammalia; Primates; Hominidae
Description: non-protein coding lnc-IL3-4:1
Source: RNAcentral
GUGAGCCGAGAGGACAGGACUGGAAGGUGGCUAGGGAUGUGUAGCGGGAGAAGGGUCAGUCUCGAUCUUCCCCUGUGAAGCUGUCAGCGACCAUCAGAGGGUACGCCGGGGUGGCGCGGGGACGAUGCCAGGAGCCUUGGAGUGCAGAAGGCUUCGACUCCCCGCACCCACAGAGUUGCGUAGGGAACCACGGGCAACCGACUCUUCCUUGUCAGCCCCUCCCUAGCUUCUGCGGCUUCACACCUCCAUUCCGCGCCGGGCAGAGUCUGGCGGCUCCUGGAGCACGGAAGGCCCACAAGCGUACCCGUGGGGCCGCGGCCAAGGCUGGACUUUGAGCCCAGGACCCCAGGACCGCCCUUAGAAGGCUGCGCCGGCCCGCGAGAGGUCUGGGAUCUGGACAGCGCGGGGGCUGGCUCACAGGGACUGGUGAAGGAAACUGCCGGGACCCCUGCCACAGCCAUGGCUCCCCGCAAAGACGACCUCGAGCAGGCACUGCGGGCAGUUUGUACUAGCGCCUAGAACCCUGACACCGGGAAUUAGUCUCUUGGAAGAGCUAGCGAUUGGAGGCUCAGGAGUUAGGCUGUUUCCUUGUUAACCAACAAAAUCAGGUGAAACCAACGAAGUCAGGAAGCCUAAAGACAUAUAUGUACAGAUAUCUAACCCUUUACGCUAAUUAUUUAGAUUUUUAAUAAAUCUAUCUUAAUGUUUAGGUAUGAAGACGGGAGGAACUGUGGAAUUUUAGUCAAGUUACAGGGAAGAAACGCUUUCUAAAAAAAGAAAAACAUUGCUCACAUGUGACCUCACAGUCUUAUUUAACCCAUGGAACCAAAAUAUAUCAGAGUUUGUAUCAAACUAAUCUUAUAAAUUUUCAGCAACCCCAUCCAUUCACUCACUCCCCCUCCAGGAUGAGGAAGCUCGUACAAUGGGAUGUAAUCCUCAGAGAAAUUUAGGAAAUAACUUGUAUAUGGUUGGAAGGCUGGAUAAAAAUACUUUGGGCAGGCGUGGUAGCUCACGUCUGUAAUCGCAACACUGCAAGGCCGAGGCAGGCAGAUCGCUUUAGCUCUGUAGUUCGAAACCAGCUUGGGCAACAGUAAGACCCUGUCUCUACAAAAAAAAAAAAAAAAAAAAA